GACGUAGGGCGCGAGCGUUGUCCGGAUUUAUUGGGCGUAAAGAGCUCGUAGGCGGCUUGUCGCGUCGACCGUGAAAACUUGGGGCUCAACCCCAAGCCUGCGGUCGAUACGGGCAGGCUCGAGUUCGGUAGGGGAGACUGGAAUUCCUGGUGUAGCGGUGAAAUGCGCAGAUAUCAGGAGGAACACCGGUGGCGAAGGCGAGUCCCUGGACAACUCCUGACACUGAGGCACGAAAGCUAGGGGAGCAAACAGG
RNAcentral lists this ribosomal RNA (253 nucleotides) under uncultured bacterium. RNAcentral describes it as "partial 16S ribosomal RNA". It matches the Rfam family "Bacterial small subunit ribosomal RNA", at positions 524 to 776 of the family's 1533-position model. The record is from RNAcentral.